RNAcentral lists this transfer RNA (70 nucleotides) under Marmota monax (woodchuck). RNAcentral describes it as "tRNA.Ala". Lineage: Eukaryota; Metazoa; Chordata; Mammalia; Rodentia; Sciuridae. The record is from RNAcentral.
GGGCUGAGGCUCAGUGGCAGAGCGCUUGCCUCGCACAUGUGAAACACUGAGUUCGAUCCUCAGCAGCACA